GAAAGUAGGCGAGGCAGUUGCGGACUGACGAUCGCGGCGGCGACCCUCAAAGAUCGCCCUGACAGAACGUCCGUUCGAGGAAAGUCCGGGCUCCCCAAAGAUCGAACCUGCUGGGUAACGCCCAGUGCGUGCGAGCGUGAGGACAGUGCCACAGAAACAUACCGCCUUUUACAGUGAACAGCGAACAGUGAACCGCGAACAGUGUUUUUGACUGAUGACUGGUGACUGGAGACUGGUGACUGGAAAAGGUAAGGGUGCAAAGGUGCGGUAAGAGCGCACCAGCAGCAUCGAGAGGUGCUGGCUCGGUAAACCCCAGGUGGGUGCAAGGUCGAAGAGACGACGGUUGGUCUUUUACCGGUCUCGCUUUUGGAGAACCGCUCGAGGCGUCUGGUAACAGGCGUCCCAGAUAGAUAACUGCCCUCGAUGCCCUUGGUGGCGUCGAGAACAGAACCCGGCUUAUGACUGCUUUCUCUA
RNAcentral lists this RNase P RNA (474 nucleotides) under Geitlerinema sp. CS-897. Its description in RNAcentral is "RNase P RNA component class A". It matches the Rfam family "Bacterial RNase P class A". From Rfam's summary of the family: Ribonuclease P (RNase P) is a ubiquitous endoribonuclease, found in archaea, bacteria and eukarya as well as chloroplasts and mitochondria. Its best characterised activity is the generation of mature 5'-ends of tRNAs by cleaving the 5'-leader elements of precursor-tRNAs. Cellular RNase Ps are ribonucleoproteins. The record is from RNAcentral. Lineage: Bacteria; Bacillati; Cyanobacteriota; Cyanophyceae; Geitlerinematales; Geitlerinemataceae.